Molecule: ribosomal RNA, 2561 nt
Filed under: Triticum aestivum (bread wheat)
Lineage: Eukaryota; Viridiplantae; Streptophyta; Magnoliopsida; Poales; Poaceae
Description: partial small subunit ribosomal RNA
Source: RNAcentral
UGCCUUCAUAGCUUGGGCUUAUAUGAUUACAUGAUGUUUGGUUGCAUACAUGCAGUGACGUCUUCUUACGUUGUCUCGUACAUGGUAAGCUUACCAACUACACCUUACAUACGAUCACACCUAUAAAACAACAUUACAAAUCACGAUGAACUAGAUGAUGAGAUGAUGUUCUUCAUCCCACAUAGCCCAUAAUGACGAGGAGCCUUGCCUACUUCGACAUUGCUUGCAUGCUUGUGCACAUACUUGGAGUAAGCAUCCACUGCGUGGUGCCUAGUCUUAAACCCUUUGUAGGAGUCCUCUAGUAAUGAUUGACUUGUUCUUCGCAUGCAUUCAUGAAUUAUAAACCCUUGAAACCCUCCCUUUAUACAAAACAUACAACUUGUCAUAGCAUGGCAAAACAACAAAAGUUCCAGCUUCUAGCAAAGUAGCAGCAGUACACAUGGAACGGAUGAAACUAUGCAUGAUUAUAAGGCAGAGCAAGUUCAUCCUAACUACUAUUGUGUCAUCCUAUCACCACAUCCAAAAGAAGGUGUAAUCCUACCACCAAAUUUUUCAUCAGCGUGAGGGGUUAGUAUAUACCACCUCACAAAAAUAUACAAGCUAGCAUCAGAGUUCAAGCACUAACUACCACAAAAUGUACAUCGUCAUCGUCAUCGCCAUCGCCAUCAUCGUCGAGCAUCAUGCACACUAUGACCACCACUACCGAAAACAACACUAGUAGUAAUGCUUGCCGAGUCAGGUCCCGAACCAGAGCACCUAUGGGCGUCUGCCACGGCAACAAACCAUUUGAUGAACUGCCUUUUGCUACAUUUGAUGAACUGAAUCUAACACUGUAUCAAAUGAACUGAAGAUUUGCUCGUUGUUGCAAAUCUGUAUGUAGUUUUAACAUUGUCCAAGACUGAUAUCUGAAUUUGAAACUGAUACAGAGCUAGUACUGAUGUCUGUUCAAGCUAGUUUGCACAUGGACAGUGAAAUCUAUAUGUAUAUAGCUAGUUUGCACUGAUGUUGUUCAAGCUAGUUUGCACACACAGAGUGAAAUUUGGGUCUGGGGAUGAGAUUAUGUAGGGUUCGGUGUCGGGAACGAGCAAAACGAUAGAUGAUAAGGACGAGCUGGGAAUGACCGGACGGCCAGCGGCGGCGUAAGGACUAGGUUCCGGCCGGGCAUCCGGCCGUUCACUAGCUGGCGACCUCGGGACGCCUCAGGUUUGUACAGAAAAAUUGUUAAGAAUAGAAUAGUUGUUUAUUAAUAAAGCUAAUUAGGAUUAAGUUAACUGUUAGAUAGGUUGCUUGGUUCUCAAGCAACUAUGUACUUAAUUGGCUCUCAAUGCAACUAUGUAAUUCCUUGCCUCUCAAGUAACUUUGAGUUUAGUUGACUCCCAAGUAACAUGUGUACUUCCGCCCGGGUAUAAAUACCCCGCUUCUAUCAUCAAUAAAGACUAAUGGUUCAUUCAUAUAUCUAUUUCCAUUCGCUCAUCUCUCUCGAUUCUCUUAACACGUUAUCAGCACGCCUCUACCGAGAGUACAGGCCACAGAGAAGAACAAGAGAAACACAGCGACAACACUGGCGUGCGGCCGAGACAUCGACGACAUCGACGCCCUCCGGCGUCAAGGACGAACAACGUCGUCCUCGAUAAGAGCAGAUGAAGCAACUCCGGCGAUCCCCCACACACAUCACUGGCCUAGACUAAAGGAGAAAUCCGAGUCAAACAACGUGCUUUCUUUCUGAUUUUAUUCCUGCACAUAGCAAUUGUUUUGACAGGAACAAGAGAAGGAGAAGAAGGAAGAGCAGUCAGCAAAAAAUUCACAAGAAUUUAAGUCCCAUGGAAGAGAAAGCAAACAUCCUGGGCGCUAUUCUCCGAGGCGAUCAAGAAUACCAAUUAUGUACGCAACAAACUCUAUCAAUUAAGUACCUUUGACCUUCGCCAUGAAAGUGCAGAGUCCCAGCGCAUCCAAAGACUGCCCUCGGCACGCGCUAGACCGGCAGCACGGACGCCUCAGCCACAUUAGACCGGCUCCAGACGACAGCCUGCACGGCGUGGAGACUGGAGCGGACCUCCGUCGCGGCACAGGCACGCGGCGCCCGAGCACUCUUGGUCGGCAUCAAGGAGGCGACGGGACGCACAACGCCCUCCGGCAUGGCUGCUAGUAGACACGACCACUCCCGCGGCAUCAGGCCCUCAGCCACGGCACACGACAGGCAACACGCUCCAACGGCGCCCUCCGGCGCGCAGUAAUGGCUGACGCGGCAGGCCCUCCGGCCGGUUGCGGUGUAAAAUCCCUAGCCACACGGCAGGAAUUGGGGAUUUCUUAUCUCUUUGAUGAAUUUGUAAUUGAACCCCCAGGUUAUGUGAUAAUCCCAUAUAAGUCGUUAUGUUCUAUGUUCAGCCAUCAGGUUAACAAAACUUUGUGGUUUAACCCUCAGUUCAUCCCAAAUUACAUACAACAUAAUUAUACACCAUUUUACAAUGGGUAAAAUUUUGAUUUGAAGACCUCCUGUCUUCAUACGUUUGCAUAAGUAUGUGAUUUUUUCCCACAUAUAUGUAUUACCACAUUAAUACUAU